This is a long non-coding RNA of Cephus cinctus (wheat stem sawfly), 1300 nucleotides long. RefSeq lists it as uncharacterized. Lineage: Eukaryota; Metazoa; Arthropoda; Insecta; Hymenoptera; Cephidae. The record is from RefSeq and is a predicted model, not a curated record. The transcript is spliced from 3 exons.
CAUAAACAUUCAAAUAGGUACAUGUACAUAAAGUGUAUAGAAGCACGCGAGCGUGAUUUGAUUCUACGAUAUUAACUCUUGACUGUUACUGAAUGUUCUUAGCUUAUUAGGUUAGGUGCUACACUGCGGCAUAAACUCAUUGUAUUACAAGUUGUGAUGUUGGUACACGUAAAGCGGCGUGCCGCAAGACCGCGCAGGAUGCGUUCCGGAAACUCAUUUUGAGACAAAGGAGCAGCACGACGACCCCACGUAAUCUUAGCAGGGUAAUGGCGCCGGUUCGUUUAAUUUCGCUGAGUGUGCUCAAAAGGCAACGUGUCGCCGCGCGACCUAUGAACGGUGGGAGGUAAAAAGACGUUCCGUAGAAGAAGGCGAAAGACCGUGUAAUUUCAUGAGAUUUCGCUUUAAAGAGGAAAAAAAAAAGGCGGUAAGAAAGAUUGAUGAGCAAAAGCGUUCAAAUUUCUUUGAUUUGUUACUCCACACUUGUUACGAGGUAAGCGCGAUAGUCCUUUGCUCUGUUUUGUAGGUUAGAACGCAUUUGAAAGUUCUAACGGAAACUUCAAGGAGUUACGGCGGUGAUCAUAUAAGUUUAACAAUGGAAUUCAAUUUUCUCUGCUAUCAGUUAUGAAGUCCCUGUUGGUUUGUGAAAAAACUAAAUUGAAAGACCCACAGGCGAAGUCAGGAGAAAGGUCUUCGAUAUGAAAUUGUCGUUUCCAUCGCAAUUCUCUUUAUUCCCAAGUGAGGGUCUCUAAAAUGACGUAAUAUGUGAAAACAAAGCGAUGCUAUUUCUCGUGGGAGAUUUAACUGUACGUCUCGGUGAUUGCAGGAUGGUUUUGUAUCCUUGAGGAUUAUUCGACUUCUCGAACAUUGCGUCAUGACAGAGGGAAACCGUUUCGCCUAUUUAAUCUUAGAGAAGUGGCUAAUCGCAUCCAGGGAGAACUAGUGAAUAAAAUUAACCAACCUCGAAUGAAGAUCAUUGUGCGGAUAUACAAGAAAGGUACAAGAUAAGAGCAAUAAUGAAUUCUAUUGUACGUAGCAAAAUCGAGUCACUGGCUAAAUUGGGAUACGAUCCAGUAAUUCAAUUAAGAUGAAAUGGUCUAGAAUAACGUAGAAUUGCACUUGUCCCCCUUAACUGUAAAGAUUUAUCGAUUUUACCUGGAAGGUUAAUUUUACAUAUCUCUAUCUUUGGAGAUCUAAAAACAACAUGGUGGCAUGCACCAAUUUGUGAAGUCUGACUGACUGCUGAAUUAUUGGAAUUUCCUAGAUUCUAUGUCAAUAUGUAUAUAUACAUUUUUAUACUAUA